Molecule: long non-coding RNA, 4978 nt
Organism: Ctenopharyngodon idella (grass carp)
Lineage: Eukaryota; Metazoa; Chordata; Actinopteri; Cypriniformes; Xenocyprididae
Exons: 9
Source: RefSeq, a predicted model, not a curated record
UACCAGCUUCUUUCAGCCAACCUACAGGCCCCUGCAACUCAAAUAUUCAGCAGAUGGUUGAGCUAUGUAAAUGCCAGAAUUACACAACUAUCUAUCAUACACUUGGAGGACUAGAGGCGAAAUCUCUGAUAAAAGACUGCAAUGUUCAUAUAAAAGGUAAAAUGUGUAAGUGAUAUGCAUGUUAUUUUUAAAUUAAAGAUUUUUUUUUUUUUUUUUGAAGCAGAUGAAGAGAAAGUUCUGAGAAAGUUAUGAGGAUGAACUGAAGAUUUUAGUGCUUAUCUUUCUUUACCGCUUUGAUUUUCUUCAGCACAGUUUUCACAUUGUAAAAGUAGGCUAAAUGGGAAGGUUGAAAUGAGUGUUGACCCGCAUCUGGUUGCUGUGAGAGAUAAGCCGUGCUGAACAGAAGCAAUGACAUGUUUAUGGCCAGGUGUUGAAGAGUGGACCGUACCAAAUUGCUCCCUAGAUAGAUGAUCUUGUCUUUUGAAGGCUGAAUCCAGUAUCCGACACCUGAUUUGUCUGGGUGAAGUGUUCCCCCUCAGCCACAAACAUGAAAUAUAUGCUCUGGGGUGAGCACUAUCCACUUUUAUUGAGGGACACACUCUUCCCAGUCUGCAUGAGUCUUUGGGUCAGAAGUCGCAGUCGGUUCAUCAAGGAUGUGGCGAUUGGUCGAUGUGGUAUUUGUUCUGCCCCUCCUCCACUGUGAUUGGUCAGCCGGGUAAAAAGUGACAAUGAUGAGUGCUGCGUUUUACCCAAAGUUGAACAUUUUUCAACUCUCAGCAUUUGGAAAAAAAUAUAGUUUAAAUCACUUUUUUCCCAUGUGAUGAAUGAUAAAAACUUUGACAGCCAAUCAGAAAACACCAGACUUUAAAGAGGUUGAGCAUUUAAAGUAUGUUUACUUUUGCAUCAACUAAUGCACCAAUAGAGUGACCAAUAGAAACAGGUCUUUCAUUAUGGUGCAUAUAGAUACAGUACCACCCACUGCUCUAGCUUAAUAUUUUAAUUUAAUUUUUUUUGUUUUGUUUGUAUAUUAUGUGCAAACUGUAUUUGCACAUAGUAUAUCGUAACAUUUUUAUUUUGAUGGUUCAACUUUAGACAUUCUAGCUAUAAGUAACUUUGCAAAUAUGUCAACUAACUCUCAUUAGAGUAUUAGUAAACAGUCUGAUUAAUAUUUGCUAACACUUUAUUUUGAUGGUCCCCCAACAGACAUUCUACUGACAAUAAGCACCUUUUCAAGUACACGUCAACUUAUUCUACCAUCUCUAACCUAACAGUCUACUAAUACUCUGAUUAAAGAUAGUUGACUUAUAGUUGCAAAGUUACACAGUUCUGUCAUGAAACUCUAGAUGGUGCUAGCUAAUAAAUCCUUAACUCAAUCUGCUUGCAGUCACAUCAUUCUCUUUAGGGCACAGCUGAUUGGUUCCUGCUGUAUCAGUAGCCAAUAAGCUUGCAUGCUCAACCAUUAAAAUACUUUGAUAGCAUUUUCUGUAGUUGCAGUGCGCUUUCAGAAACCCUCCACUUUCCCCAGCUCCAUCUGUAUCUACGGGUAAUUCAUGUAUGCAAUACUGUACAGCAGCAGCAUAUCUGUUUAUGUAUUUGCAGUAGCAAGUCCCGUACUUGCUCUGCAGCAGCAAUAACAGCAGCAGUGUAGCAGAUCUAUUCCGCCAAGACCAAACAUAUCAACAAUAUCAUAUUCAUUACCAUGCCAAACACUCUGAGAGUUGUCAUGACAGAAAUUAUAUAAUCUUAAAAAAUUCUAUCAUUGUUUACUUACCCCUAUGUCUGUCCAAAGUUGACAAUUUUGAAGAAUCUUUACGGAGCUCUUUUCCAUAAAAUGACUUUUCAUAGUCACCAUGUCUGUAAAGCUCCAAAACAUAAGUAGUCCAUAUGUCCAUCUGUCGCAGUGUACAACCAUGUAUAAUAAACUACCAUUCAUGAAGUGAAAAUGUGAUAUUUUACUCAAGAAGCGUUAGGAAUAAUGUAUGGUUAAAACACACACACACACACACACAAAAUCAUACACACAACUUUAUAUGAAUAAAAUACAACUUCAAACUUUCCGUGAGUGACUUCACUUUCACUGAUGGACGGCAAACAACAGUAGGUAAUUUGCCCUGCUAUUUUAAUUACAUUAAUUCCUAAAUUUCAGUCUAUAUUUUUAAUUGAAGGGGUGUCAAUUGCAAUAAACUGAAUUCAUUAAAUGAUUGUAACUCAGUUAGCUAUGAUGAAUAAUUAAGGCUUUUAAAAUUAAUAAUUCCACGAAUUAUAAAAACAAGAAUUUUAAGUUUUAAGUAUGUUUCUGCAACACUAGUGGCACCUAAUGCAGGGCCGGAUUUAUGCAUAGGCACCUGAUAGGCACGCUCAAUUACUAUGAGGAGAAAUAAUAUUUUUUUAAAUUAUUAUUUAUUCUAAUGGUAAAACAAUGUAAGACAAUUGCUAUAAUUAACAAAAUAUAAAUGUCGGGCAGAAACCUCUUAUCCAUUUCAUCUGUUUUCCAUAAAUCAUUACGUCUGUCUGUGGGGUUUGCGAAUAUUAACCAAUUAAACGUGUUAUAAAGAGCUCGUGACUAAACCUCUUAACUCAGUUGGAUCCUCAAACUGUUGGUCAAACCUCUUAUCUUGAAGUGCCGCACGCAGUUUGGAUUGUCUCUGCUUGUCUGCAAGGGUAAAAAAGAACUGGGUCUUUGAAUAAGUACUGUUAAACAUUGUUUGAGAAAGAUAGUGCAUGCUCAUUGUGAAAUACAUGUUGAACUUCAUCCUCCACUCCUUCAUUAGUAAAAGUAAUUGGGCUUUUUUGUUUGGUUUUGUUUUUGGAUCCUUUAUUAAUUUGAAUUUCUUCGCCACUCUACAACUAACCGGUUUGAUGACGCAUUAGUGAUACCGAAAGCUGAUUGGCCUUGAUGGUUAUAUAUGCGGGAGUUAAAAAUGAUGUCCGCUUUGUCCUCCCUUGUGUCUUUUUGCAUGCAUUUUCGAAAGAAGCAUGACUAUGGGAUUAGACUGUAAGUGCCUUACUAAGUAGACGCUUUUGCUCAAUUAUGAAUAAUGAAGAUUUUGGACACGAAUGAUUACACAGAUUAUAAUAAUAUUAAGAAUAACUGAUCAGAAAGAAUAAAUCUCAUAUGUAUUAAAGAAAACGUCAAAAUUAAGUUUGUAACAAUAAAUGUGUUUAGAUUCGAUGUGCGCUCGCUCGCUCUGCUUACGCAACUUUAGGUGUGCGUGCUUAUGAGCAAUUCAAAUGUUAUGAAUUCUGACUGCAUAUACAGUUUUAUUUUAUUGUUCGUUUUUAUUUUAGAAGGAGUUUUGAGCUUGAUUUCUUUUUUUUUUGGAGGAUUAUUUCUGAGGAGAGUUGUAUUUUAUUAUUUAUAUAUAUAUAUAUAUACACAUAUAUAUAUAUAUAUAAAUAUACACAUAUAUAUAUGCUGCCAGACCCGACCCAGACACUGAGCCAGGAGAUAUCUGGAUAUUUAACACCUCUGCCGUCAGAGUUUUCUGUUUUUGUGUCCACAGGUCAGGAUCACUGGAGGAGGAAGUGGCAGAGCGGCAGCCAGCAGAGCCCAGAUGAUGGACGUCCGUCCACUCCAUUUAAAAGGCUUGAUAAACGCUCUCACAGAGCCUCCGGCCACUCCAGAUCCACUCAGACAGAUUCUUCACCAGACAUCAUGUCCACAUCAUCUCUGUCCCUCUCUGAGGACAAUGUAGAGAGGCGGUCAUGCAGAGAGUUGAUGAGCCUCAGCAGCAGAGGCUCGUACAGCGUCAUAUGGAGGUGGAGUGGUGAUGGAUCAAAUCGCCCAUCAGAUUGGUUUUGUCUUCCAGAGGCUGUGGAAGGCUAUGAAGAGUCCUUUCGGCUGCUGUUUCCACAGUAGUGCUGUGGAUGUUGUGGAGCCUUUUGUCCCUCCAGCAGAUCUGUCACCUGCUCCAGAUAACUCCACCGUCAAGACAAAUAAUGAGUCCUUUGAGUCUCUCUAUAACGUGGGAGAGAUGAUUGGAUCUGGAGGAUUUGGCAGUGUACGAGGGAACACCCAGAUUUGAUGGCAAAAUGGUUGCCAUGAAGUAGAUGCGUAAGACUGACAACAAUCGUUAUCUUGAUAUUGUAAGGUGUAAAUGUAAUAGAAAAAUAAGCCUAGAAACACCAAAUGACCAAAAAAGACUCUGUUGAACGCAUCUGAAAAGAUCAAAGAAAAGUACAUUUAAAAAUGAUGUUUUCUUCAGAUUUUUACCCAGCUAACCUUCUGUCUACUACUUUUCAUUAGCCUGGGCAUCCCGAACCUCUCGUUACAGAAGUGGCGCUGCUGCUAAUAAUGAGGAAUACUGGAUUACUGCCCACCUGAAGUCUUGACAGAACCUCGAUUCAGUGCCGUCUCAGCGAAUGUCUGGUCUCUAGGAGUGCUGCUGUAUGAGAUGGUGAACACAUGUUCUCCUUUUCAGGAUAGAGCGGAAAUCACACAAGCCAAAGUUACAUUUCAGAACUCCAGCUUAUCCAAAGGAAAUAACAGACUUGCUGUCGUCGGUGGAGGGCUUGAACCCGAGACUUGACUGAAGCCUGAAGUCCAACCCCAACCUGACAGGAACUCAGAGCCGCUGCACCAGAGACUCAGAGCCUGUCCACGUCUGAGCAAGAACAUGAGAGAUGGCAAGACUGGAAAGAAGUCAUCAAGUCAUCACAUCUAUUUGCUUUUUUUUUUAAAAGUCAAGACAAGUCAUCUUUGUUUAUAUAGCGCUUUGGAGUAACUAGUUACAUGUAGUGGCAUUACGUAAUUUAAUUACAAAAUAAAUGUAACUGUAAUCCGUUACAGUUACUGAGAAAAAUGUGUAAUUAAAUUAGUCACUUAUGAAAAUGUUAAUGAUUACAAAGGGAGUUAUAUCUGAAAAAUUUCUGUAAACUAGGAUAUGUUGAAUAAUAUUAAUUUAUUGUUUGCCUGUUUUUGAUGUGCACGAUGCCUCCUGCCAUUUAAAGGCCAUUUAGUAAAGUGAUGCUAUUCUGA